GUCUACAGCCACACCACCCUGAACACGCCCAAUCUCCUUUGAUCUCAGAAGCUAAGCAGGGUUGGGCCUGGCUAGUACUUGGAUGGGAGAAAGACAGAGAUACACA
Molecule: ribosomal RNA, 106 nt
Organism: Erinaceus europaeus (western European hedgehog)
Lineage: Eukaryota; Metazoa; Chordata; Mammalia; Eulipotyphla; Erinaceidae
Source: Ensembl